RNAcentral lists this ribosomal RNA (672 nucleotides) under uncultured crenarchaeote. RNAcentral describes it as "bacterial SSU rRNA". It matches the Rfam family "Archaeal small subunit ribosomal RNA", at positions 662 to 1334 of the family's 1478-position model. Lineage: Archaea; Thermoproteati; Thermoproteota. The record is from RNAcentral.
AGUGGCGAAGGCGUCAGACUGGAACGCGCCUGACGGUGAGGGACGAAAGCCAGGGGAGCGAACCGGAUUAGAUACCCGGGUAGUCCUGGCCGUAAACGAUGCAUACUAGGUGAUGGCGCGGCCAUGAGCCGUGUCAGUGCCGUAGGGAAACCGUUAAGUGUGCCGCCUGGGAAGUACGGUCGCAAGGCUAAAACUUAAAGGAAUUGGCGGGGGAGCACCACAAGGGGUGAAGCCUGCGGUUUAAUUGGACUCAACGCCGGGAAACUUACCAGGGGAGACAGCAGAAUGAUGGUCAGGUUGACGACCUUACCUAACGAGCUGAGAGGAGGUGCAUGGCCGUCGCCAGUUCGUGCUGUGAGGUAUCCUGUUAAGUCAGGCAACGAACGAGAUCCGCGCCUUUAUUUGCCAGCAAGAAGUCACGACUUCGUUGGGAACACUAAAGGGACCGCCGUCGAUAAGACGGAGGAAGGAGCGGGCAAAGGCAGGUCAGUAUGCCCCGAAACCCCUGGGCUACACGCGGGCUGCAAUGGUAUGAACAAUGGGCUGUAACUCCGACAGGAGAAACCAAUCCCGAAACGGCGUCUCAGUUGGAAUUGUGGGCUGUAACUCGCCCACAUGAACGUGGAUCCCUAGUAAUCGCGUGUCAUCAUCGCGCGGUGAUACGUCUCUGCU